AAAGCGAGCGGCGGAUGGGUGAGUAACACGUGGGGAACCUGCCCCUAAGUCUGGGAUACCAUUUGGAAACAGGUGCUAAUACCGGAUAAUAAAGCAGAUCGCAUGAUCAGCUUUUGAAAGGCGGCGUAAGCUGUCGCUAAGGGAUGGCCCCGCGGUGCAUUAGCUAGUUGGUAAGGUAACGGCUUACCAAGGCGACGAUGCAUAGCCGAGUUGAGAGACUGAUCGGCCACAUUGGGACUGAGACACGGCCCAAACUCCUACGGGAGGCAGCAGUAGGGAAUCUUCCACAAUGGACGCAAGUCUGAUGGAGCAACGCCGCGUGAGUGAAGAAGGUUUUCGGAUCGUAAAGCUCUGUUGUUGGUGAAGAAGGAUAGAGGUAGUAACUGGCCUUUAUUUGACGGUAAUCAACCAGAAAGUCACGGCUAACUACGUGCCAGCAGCCGCGGUAAUACGUAGGUGGCAAGCGUUGUCCGGAUUUAUUGGGCGUAAAGCGAGCGCAGGCGGAAAAAUAAGUCUAAUGUGAAAGCCCUCGGCUUAACCGAGGAACUGCAUCGGAAACUGUUUUUCUUGAGUGCAGAAGAGGAGAGUGGAACUCCAUGUGUAGCGGUGGGAUGCGUAGAUAUAUGGAAGAACACCAGUGGCGAAGGCGGCUCUCUGGUUCUGCAACUGACGCUGAGGCUCGAAAGCAUGGGUAGCGAACAGGAUUAGAUACCCUGGUAGUCCAUGCCUUAAAACGAUGAGUGCUAAGUGUUGGGAGGUUUCC
RNAcentral lists this ribosomal RNA (763 nucleotides) under uncultured bacterium. Its description in RNAcentral is "bacterial SSU rRNA". It matches the Rfam family "Bacterial small subunit ribosomal RNA", at positions 88 to 835 of the family's 1533-position model. The record is from RNAcentral.